ACAUACUGUACCUUGAUUCUUGAUGAAAAUCGGUUGUAAUGACAUUUUCUUGAUUUGUCUCUCAGAUUUAGAGUCGUAUGUUCAGGGACACAUGAAAAAGCAUGGGACCAAGAGCCCAAGUCAAGGGUGAGUAGAGCCUCUAUGAUCUGAUCUGUGCUUCUGCAAUGUUUUCAUCCCAAUGAGAAAAUAAUACCAUGAAUGUAACAACUAGAAAUG
Molecule: unclassified non-coding RNA, 216 nt
Filed under: Hevea brasiliensis (rubber tree)
Lineage: Eukaryota; Viridiplantae; Streptophyta; Magnoliopsida; Malpighiales; Euphorbiaceae
Source: RNAcentral